GUGGGAUUGUGGCUCAGUGGUAGAGUGCUCGCCUGGCAUGUGUGAGGCCCUGGGUUCGAUCCUCAGCACCACA
This 73-nucleotide transfer RNA is filed under the name Marmota monax (woodchuck). Its description in RNAcentral is "tRNA.Ala". It matches the Rfam family "tRNA". Rfam says of the family: Transfer RNA (tRNA) molecules are approximately 80 nucleotides in length. Their secondary structure includes four short double-helical elements and three loops (D, anti-codon, and T loops). Lineage: Eukaryota; Metazoa; Chordata; Mammalia; Rodentia; Sciuridae. The record is from RNAcentral.